GAUGAAGAACGUAGCGAAAUGCGAUAAGUAAUGUGAAUUGCAGAAUUCAGUGAAUCAUCGAAUCUUUGAACGCACAUUGCGCCCCUUGGUAUUCCGGGGGGCAUGCCUGUUCGAGCGUCAUUAUAACCCCUCAAGCUCAGCUUGGUGUUGGGGCCUGCCAACUGGCAGCCCUUAAAAUCAGUGGCGGCGCCAUCUGGCUCUAAGCGUAGUAAUUUCUCUCGCUAUAGGGUCCAGGUGGAUGCUGGCCAGCAACCCCCAAUUUUCUAUGGUUGACCUCGGAUCAGGUAGGGAUACCCGCUGAACUUAAGCAUAUCAAUAAGCGGAGGA
Molecule: unclassified non-coding RNA, 327 nt
Filed under: soil metagenome
Description: partial contains 5.8S ribosomal RNA, internal transcribed spacer 2, and large subunit ribosomal RNA
Rfam family: 5.8S ribosomal RNA (bases 1-120)
Source: RNAcentral